GAUUCCUUAACUUAACUGGUUAAAGUGCAUUUUUGAUAAGAAUGAUACCAGCGUUCGAGUCGCUGAGGAAUUA
Molecule: transfer RNA, 73 nt
Organism: Chaetomium globosum CBS 148.51
Lineage: Eukaryota; Fungi; Ascomycota; Sordariomycetes; Sordariales; Chaetomiaceae
Rfam family: tRNA
About the family: Transfer RNA (tRNA) molecules are approximately 80 nucleotides in length. Their secondary structure includes four short double-helical elements and three loops (D, anti-codon, and T loops).
Source: Rfam